UGGGGAACGCUCCGUCCCAAGGCAUGUCCCUGUCCUCUCCCUCCCUAAUGUGCCUCCAUGCUUAGUGGAAGGGCUCCAGCGAGCGGCGGGAGGGAAGCCUGCAGGACUCUGUUCCCUCUGUUUAAAGUCUCCAGAUGAUGUCAUGUGUGAACGUCGCCCAGCCAGAGGCAGCCAGAGGACAGGGACUGGUGACAUCCGGGGAAAGGACGCCAGGUGGGGACGGGCCUGCCGGUUUAGCAGACGGUGGCGCCGAGCUGGAGGAUCUUCCUUCUCCUGAAGAGUGACAGUGAUCGCAUGCGGGCACCUGCGCCUCUACUCGUGGCCAGCCACUGGGGGGCGCCCGCCGCCUCCUCAUCCGCAGGUCUGAACGGAGGGCGACACAGGCCCCUGCCCAGGCCCAGCCUCUGCUUCCCUUCCUGCUGAGGCUCCCUGUCACGCGUGCUGGCAUCUUCCUGCACCUCGUCCUGGGCAGGCGUGACCUCAGGCGCCCAACAGGCUGGGGGAGUGAAGUCAUUUCCAGAACAGCACCCCCAUUAGAAGCCCAGGCUGCUCCUCCCAGUCCCUGUGGGCCCCACAGAAAAAAAGUUGAAUCCAUGCAACAGGUGUGGAACCCCGGAUCACCUGCAUGGCGCCAUCCUUCUCUCUGAACCUCGGGGUCCUUCCUUGUUAAAUAAAGCCAAGAUCUGGAAGAUUGUUUUUAAAUUUUUAAAAUUUUUAUUUGCUUGUUUUUUUAAAGCGGGCCUCGAUAUGUAGUCCAGGCUGCCCUUGAGCUCACUAUGGACCCCAGGCUGGCCUCAGACUCUCGACAAUCCUCCUGCUUCAGCCUCCUCAGUGCUGGGAUGACAGGCGUGUGCCACCACACCAAGCUAGAAGGUUCUUAAAGGGGUUCCUAGGCUUUUCCAUUCCAAGCCCCCCUUGGCAUGGCCCCUCCUCAGAUGAGCAGAUAUCUCUCUACCCCUUCCCUCUCUGCCACCCCAGUGCCAGCUCCUGGCCAGGAGUGCUGCCUGCUGUCUAUCUGCUCCCCACAGCCCCUCAACCCUCCC
This 1043-nucleotide long non-coding RNA is filed under the name Heterocephalus glaber (naked mole-rat). Its description in RNAcentral is "lncRNA (ENSHGLG00100043609.1)". The record is from RNAcentral. Lineage: Eukaryota; Metazoa; Chordata; Mammalia; Rodentia; Bathyergidae.